GUCUGCCAGGAGGUACCUGGAACUCUACUUUCUCUGAAACUCUCUGGCCUUGAGAUCAAUGAGUUCAAUUUCAUGUCAUGUAGAUGUUUUGUAUCUCUUACUUGAAGUUCGAAGGCAUAUAAACGAGUAAUGUAUACUCCUCUUUAUCAAACACGACCAUAUUAUGGUUUUUAUGGUCUGGUUUUACAUCUCACCUUAACUUCAUGUCUGCAAUGUCUAUUAGAUUGAUAUCUUUCAAUGCUUUUUUGGGUUAAUUGAAGAUUCUGAUGGUGUUUUGUUAUU
Molecule: long non-coding RNA, 282 nt
Filed under: Rosa chinensis
Lineage: Eukaryota; Viridiplantae; Streptophyta; Magnoliopsida; Rosales; Rosaceae
Description: sRNA RchiOBHm_Chr2g0151551
Source: RNAcentral